GCGCUUGUAGCUCAGCGGAUGGAGCGUCUGUUUCCGAAACAGAAAGUCGUAGGUUCAAAUCCUAUCAGGCGUA
This is a non-coding RNA of Cryptomeria japonica (Japanese cedar), 73 nucleotides long. The record is from the annotation of a RefSeq genome assembly. Lineage: Eukaryota; Viridiplantae; Streptophyta; Pinopsida; Cupressales; Cupressaceae.